CUGAAAGCUGCCUGGGAAGGGAGAGAGGAGGGAAAGAUACAGCAAUCGAAAACUCCUACUGAAAGUAAGCUUGCAAAGCAAAACUUUAAAAUACAUGAAGACAUAGAUAUGGAGUUCAAAAUUUGUUCAAGCAAGACACGAAUUUACUAAAAGUGAAAUUAGCAGUUGGAAUUCCUGGAAAUGACAAUAAACCUUCAAGAGGAGAACUCCGUUACACGUCACGAAGUCAAAUGCCAGGGGAAACCAUUAGCUGGAAUCCACAGGAAAAGAACGCAACACGGAGCACGAAGCCCAAGCACAGAAGAUCAAAGACGCCAGGAGAGGACCCCUCGCACCUUUUCCAAACCAAAAAUGUGAAGCAGCAGAACUUCCAAAACCUCCGGCCUCGUCUUGUGAUUCCACCAAUGCAGCCAUCGCCAAGCAAGCCUUGAAAUAGCCCAUCAAGGGCAAACAGGCCCCCGAAAAAAAGCUCAAGGAAAAGUCGCAAACUCAUGGAUUUCUACCCUGUCCCAAGGAGCUCCAGGAAGGGCAAAGCGGAGCUGCAAUUUGAAGAAAGGGAAAGAAUAAAUGAAUUGAUUGAAAGCGGGAAGGAAAGAAGGAGUGAAGACUGACCUCAUCAAUGACAAAGGCCGGGUGUGAACACCAGAGGGAGCUCUCCCGGGGCGCCUUUGUGGUAGAAAAGCACCGGAGCCUCACGGAGAUCACCGACGCCACGGGACCCCUCCAUGAUGGAUCUCCGUGGAUCUCCGCAGUUGAACGUUUUGUGCUUCCCAUGCAUGCAGUCAAAAACUCAGCACACAGGCCAGGCGCGGUGGCU
This 817-nucleotide small RNA is filed under the name Pan troglodytes (chimpanzee). RNAcentral describes it as "processed transcript". The record is from RNAcentral. Lineage: Eukaryota; Metazoa; Chordata; Mammalia; Primates; Hominidae.